AUGAACGCUGGCGGCGUGCCUAAUACAUGCCCGUCGAGCGAACAGACGAGGAGCUUGCUCCUCUGACGUUAGCGGCGGACGGGUGAGUAACACGUGGAUAACCUACCUAUAAGACUGGGAUAACUUCGGGAAACCGGAGCUAAUACCGGAUAAUAUAUUGAACCGCAUGGUUCAAUAGUGAAAGACGGUUUUGCUGUCACUUAUAGAUGGAUCCGCGCCGCAUUAGCUAGUUGGUAAGGUAACGGCUUACCAAGGCAACGAUGCGUAGCCGACCUGAGAGGGUGAUCGGCCACACUGGAACUGAGACACGGUCCAGACUCCUACGGGAGGCAGCAGUAGGGAAUCUUCCGCAAUGGGCGAAAGCCUGACGGAGCAACGCCGCGUGAGUGAUGAAGGUCUUCGGAUCGUAAAACUCUGUUAUUAGGGAAGAACAAAUGUGUAAGUAACUAUGCACGUCUUGACGGUACCUAAUCAGAAAGCCACGGCGAACUACGU
RNAcentral lists this ribosomal RNA (495 nucleotides) under uncultured bacterium. Its description in RNAcentral is "partial 16S ribosomal RNA". It matches the Rfam family "Bacterial small subunit ribosomal RNA", at positions 29 to 506 of the family's 1533-position model. The record is from RNAcentral.